Molecule: ribosomal RNA, 753 nt
Filed under: Haloferax sp.
Lineage: Archaea; Methanobacteriati; Methanobacteriota; Halobacteria; Halobacteriales; Haloferacaceae
Description: bacterial SSU rRNA
Rfam family: Archaeal small subunit ribosomal RNA
Source: RNAcentral
UGCUAGUUGCACGAGUUUAGACUCGUUGCGGAAAGCUCAGUAACACGUGGACAAACUACCCUACGGAGAACGAUAACCUCGGGAAACUGAGGCUAAUAGUUCAUAGGGGAGUCGCGCUGGAAAUGCCGACUCCCCCAAACGCUCCGGCGCCGUAGGAUGUGUCUGCGGCCGAUUAGGUAGACGGUGGGGUAACGGCCCACCGUGCCGAUAAUCGGUACGGGUUGUGAGAGCAAGAGCCCGGAGACGGAAUCUGAGACAAGAUUCCGGGCCCUACGGGGCGCAGCAGGCGCGAAACCUUUACACUGCACGCAAGUGCGAUAAGGGGACCCCAAGUGCGAGGGCAUAUAGUCCUCGCUUUUCUCGACUGUAAGGCGGUCGUGGAAUAAGAGCUGGGCAAGACCGGUGCCAGCCGCCGCGGUAAUACCGGCAGCUCAAGUGAUGACCGAUAUUAUUGGGCCUAAAGCGUCCGUAGCCGGCCAUGAAGGUUCAUCGGGAAAUCCGCCAGCUCAACUGGCGGGCGUCCGGUGAAAACCACAUGGCUUGGGACCGGAAGGCUCGAGGGGUACGUCCGGGGUAGGAGUGAAAUCCCGUAAUCCUGGACGGACCACCGAUGGCGAAAGCACCUCGAGAAGACGGAUCCGACGGUGAGGGACGAAAGCUAGGGUCUCGAACCGGAUUAGAUACCCGGGUAGUCCUAGCUGUAAACGAUGCUCGCUAGGUGUGACACAGGCUACGAGCCUGUGUUGUGCCGUA